AGGAGAAGAAAGUAAAGAGCACCAAAGUGGAAGCAAAAGUUAAAAAGGAAGUGAAGGAUGGAAAAGGAGAAGCAAAGAUGCCUGAGAAGGUCAAGCAGACAGAAACUAAAACAACAGAAGUUGGGUUAAUAAAGGCCAAACCGAAAGUUAAGGAGGAGAAAGCACUUCAGACUGUAACUAAAUCGGAAAAGAAAGAUCAAUAUGCAUUCUGUCGCUAUGUGAUUGACAUGUUUGCGCAAGGGGAUUUUUAUCCAGGACAUAAGGGAAUGGUAUCACCUCGUCUUCUUCUAGAACAUAGUCCAAGAAAGAAAACAGCAGCUAUUGAAGAAGAGAAGUCUAUUGUGGUAGCUAAGGAAGUGAAAAAAAGAAAGGAUGAAAAGAAAAGGACUGAUAUAAAGAGGUCUGUUACUGAAACUAAGAAGAAAGAAAAAGAAGGAAAAAAAGAGAAAGCUCAUGAGAAGACAGCUGUCCCUGAAAUUAAAAAAGCAGAUAAAAAAGAAGCUGCUGUGUCCAAAGAACUCAAAAAGCCAGCAAAAUACCCUGCAGCUAAUCCAUCCACCAAAAAAGCAGUAAUACCAGAAACACACAGGAAAGAAAAAAUGGUGGAUACUGCCAAAACAGCAAAGAAAGAAUCAAAAGUACAUGCAUCUGUGGAAACUCUGAAGUCAAAAGUACCUGAAAAGAAGGAAGAAAAAGCAAUGAAGGCAGGAGAGCAAGAUAAACCAAAGAUGAAACAAGCAAAUCCUGGAAAAGACAAAGAAUUGAAAUCUCCAGCUGCUACAAAAGAUAAAGAACACACUAAAGAAAAGGAAGGAAAGAAUCCUGCAGAUUUAAAAGAUAAAGAGUCUCUGAAAGGAAAAAAUCCCAAGAAUCCAGAGGGGUCAAAGGAUAAAGAGACUGGUAAAAGAAAAGAUGUGAGGCCUUCAGCAGUCUUAAAGGAAAAGGGAAAAGAAAUGAAGGUUUCAACUACAACUAAGGAGAAAGCUGCGGUGAAAAAGGAAGGGGAGAAGAAAGGUACUUCAGAAAAAACUCAUGAACACAAGCAUGAAACGAUCAGGCAUGAAAAGGAUGUUCCAACUACAAAACCAGUCAAACUGAAAACAACUGCAAAGCCAACAGGUGAAAUUCCAAUAACAGGUAAAUAUCAAAAUUCUCUGCUAUGUCUUGUGGAAAUAUUUAAUGAACAUACCAGUACUGAAGAACACAUAACAUUCAUCAGCAAUGUACUAUGCCGAUGUAAACCAGAGCAGGUAAACUAA
Molecule: long non-coding RNA, 1259 nt
Filed under: Anas platyrhynchos platyrhynchos (common mallard)
Lineage: Eukaryota; Metazoa; Chordata; Aves; Anseriformes; Anatidae
Description: lncRNA (ENSAPLG00000014385.2)
Source: RNAcentral